This 483-nucleotide ribosomal RNA is filed under the name Photobacterium phosphoreum. RNAcentral describes it as "bacterial LSU rRNA". It matches the Rfam family "Bacterial large subunit ribosomal RNA", at positions 1 to 527 of the family's 2925-position model. Lineage: Bacteria; Pseudomonadati; Pseudomonadota; Gammaproteobacteria; Vibrionales; Vibrionaceae. The record is from RNAcentral.
GUUGUAUGGUUAAGUGACUAAGCGUACACGGUGGAUGCCUUGGCAGUCAGAGGCGAUGAAGGACGUAUUAACUUGCGAUAAGCCCAGAUUAGGCAGUAAAAGCCACUUGAGUCUGGGAUUUCCGAAUGGGGAAACCCACUAGCAUAAGCUAGUAUCAUUAACUGAAUACAUAGGUUAAUGAAGCGAACCGGGGGAACUGAAACAUCUAAGUACCCCGAGGAAGAGAAAUCAACCGAGAUUCCGGUAGUAGCGGCGAGCGAAACCGGAUUAGCCCUUAAGCUAGUUCUGCGUUAGGUGAAUGUGCUGGAAAGCACAGCGAUACAGGGUGAUAGCCCCGUAACCAAAAAUGCAUUAAUAGUGAAAUCGAGUAGGACGGGACACGUGAUAUCCUGUUUGAACAUGGGGGGACCAUCCUCCAAGGCUAAAUACUCCUGACUGACCGAUAGUGAACCAGUACCGUGAGGGAAAGGCGAAAAGAACCCC